ACUCAAAUGAAUUGACGGGGACCCGCACAAGCAGCGGAGCAUGUGGUUUAAUUCGACGCAACGCGAAGAACCUUACCUGGGCUUGACAUGACCCUGACCGCCUUGGAAACAAGGCUUCCCUUCGGGGCAGGGCCACAGGUGGUGCAUGGCUGUCGUCAGCUCGUGUCGUGAGAUGUUGGGUUAAGUCCCGCAACGAGCGCAACCCCCGUCGCAUGUUGCCAGCAUUUAGUUGGGGACUCAUGCGAGACUGCCGGUGACAAACCGGAGGAAGGUGGGGAUGACGUCAAGUCAUCAUGCCCCUUAUGUCCAGGGCUACACACGUGCUACAUUGGCCGGUACAGAGGGUUGCGAUACCGCGAGGUGGAGCGAAUCCCUCAAAGCCGGUCUCGGUUCGGAUUGCAGGCUGAAACUCGCCUGCAUGAAGGCGGAGUUGCUAGUAAUCGCGGAUCAGCAAUGCCGCGGUGAAUACGUUCCCGGGUCUUGUACACACCGCCCGU
This 497-nucleotide ribosomal RNA is filed under the name uncultured bacterium. RNAcentral describes it as "partial 16S ribosomal RNA". It matches the Rfam family "Bacterial small subunit ribosomal RNA", at positions 899 to 1397 of the family's 1533-position model. The record is from RNAcentral.